UACGUAGGUGGCAAGCGUUGUCCGGAUUUACUGGGUGUAAAGGGCGCGUAGGCGGGUUUGCAAGUCAGAUGUGAAAUACCGGGGCUCAACCUCGGAACUGCAUCGGAAACUGUAGAUCUUGAGUACUGGAGAGGAAAGUGGAAUUCCUAGUGUAGCGGUGAAAUGCGUAGAUAUUAGGAGGAACACCGGUGGCGAAGGCGGCUUUCUGGACAGUAACUGACGCUGAGGCGCGAAAGCGUGGGGAGCAAAC
Molecule: ribosomal RNA, 250 nt
Filed under: uncultured prokaryote
Description: partial 16S ribosomal RNA
Rfam family: Bacterial small subunit ribosomal RNA
Source: RNAcentral